This 391-nucleotide unclassified non-coding RNA is filed under the name soil metagenome. RNAcentral describes it as "partial contains 5.8S ribosomal RNA, internal transcribed spacer 2, and large subunit ribosomal RNA". The stretch from base 1 to 122 matches the Rfam family "5.8S ribosomal RNA", at positions 35 to 154 of the family's 154-position model. The record is from RNAcentral.
GAUGAAGAACGUAGCGAAAUGCGAUACUUGGUGUGAAUUGCAGAAUCCCGUGAACCAUCGAGUCUUUGAACGCAAGUUGCGCCCGAAGCCAUUAGGCCGAGGGCACGCCUGCCUGGGCGUCACACGUCGUUGCCCCCCCAUCUACUCCUUCGGGAUUGCGGGGGGUGGAUGAUGGCCUCCCGUGCGCCUCGUCGCGCGGUUGGCAUAAAUGCCAAGUCCUCGGCGACGCACGCCACGACAAUCGGUGGUUGCGAAACCUCGGUUGCCCGUCGUGUGCGGUCGUCGCGCAUCGAGGGCUCGAAAAAAUUGCCGGGCUCCGGCUCGGCUUUCAACGCGACCCCAGGUCAGGCGGGGUUACCCGCUGAAUUUAAGCAUAUCAAUAAGCGGAGGA